This is a long non-coding RNA of Branchiostoma floridae (Florida lancelet), 1602 nucleotides long. RefSeq lists it as uncharacterized. The transcript is spliced from 4 exons. The record is from RefSeq and is a predicted model, not a curated record. NCBI's taxonomy places the organism in Eukaryota, Metazoa, Chordata, Leptocardii, Amphioxiformes, Branchiostomatidae.
ACGGAAGAACUGCACAUGCAGCUGCCUGCCUCACGGAAGAAGCCACCGGAAAGAUGCUGGAGAUUCCGAGAUGCGAGAGCUGUCAGCACCAUGCGAAGUGGUGUGGCGGAGGGCACACCACUGGGCUUCCUACAAUGGGAAUGCCAUUGCUUCAUGCUCGCAAUCUGAGGGGAGUCGGCAACAGGAAACUAGUUCCUCUACGAGGCCGACUCCCUCAGAAGAUAUACAAACUUAAACAAUAGUGUUCCUGUGCCGGCACUUCUCGACGCUGUGGGCAUAUUAUUCACGUCAGCAGUUGAGGCAGCGUCGGGUUCCUCUUACCCAGAAGAUGGAACAUGGGGAAGAGUGGCGGAAGAAAGUGGCUUGAGAAACACCUGGAAGACAAGAAAGAGGUUGAAGCAACGGUGGCUUCGUGCACGUGAAGAUAAGGGUAAGAUACCGAGAUGCAUCACUAGGAUGUUGUGGUGUGGCGGAGGGCACACCACUUGGGCUCCCUGCAAUGGGAAUGAGUAGUCCCUGACUGCAAAGAAAGAAGAUCUGUAUGUGAUGUGGCGGAGGGUAAACCACUUGGGCGUCCUACAAUGGAAAUUGGGUAAGAAGUUCAACUUUGUUCCAGAGAAGAAAGUCCAUGCAAUGUAUAGUGACAUAUAUAAAAAAAGAUAUGCAAACCAACAGAUAAUUACUACAGAAUUUCUGUUUUGAUACAAAUACAUUUAACUCGCCACGCAAUAUCUUAGAUGGUCCUUUCUCGAGUCGUUCCUUGUCAGAGCACAUGCUGACAUCCGACAUGUGUGCAGAAUCGAGGAAUCUAACGUUGUUAAAACCUAUUAUCAUUGCCCCUUGGAUGUCUAGCCAAAGGGCCAUUAUUUUCUUCAACUUGCCAAACGUUUGGCAUUCUACAGCAUUAGUUUCUGUUUGAAGGAAUUUCUUCUCAACUUUUUCUCGUUCCGGUGUGGUUAGCCAAAUUAUUGGAGACAUAACAGGCUCAGGUCUUUCGCUCCCUUGAAACCGAUACAAGAUUGCUUGGGCGGGGCAGUUAUUGUAGGUGCCACGUGAUGACUGCGGGUUGUUUCGGUCACAUCUAGGCUUGCACCUUAGAGCAUGUUUUUCUCUUCAGCAGAAACAAAAAUCCUUGCGGAUACAAGCAAAACACAUUGAUACCAUGUCGAGAAAAAUUGCCGAUUUAUUCUGACGUGGCCGUUUUAUAUUUCAUCUUUUAGAAAUGGUGUGGCAUGAAAGAAGGACUAUGCCAGUGCGGGAACUUUUCACAGCCGUUGAAAAGGUUUUCCAAUCUAAAGACCGGGCCGCCAAAGAAUCUACUUAUAAAGCAGACGGUGAUUUUGGGAAGGUAACAGUAGAAAUAAAAUGGGGGAAUAACCUGAAAAACAGGAAAAGGCUAAAACAAGUUCAAUAAUAAAUGACACAACCAAGUAUGCCACCUACAAUCACCUCUAAAAACAUCUGCGGAUACACGUAUCAAGUCUUUUACACUAUUCAAUUCGCAACACGAAUAUUGCAGGUUAAAGUUAUAUAAACUAUAUGUAAGCCAACAGAUAAUUGCUAACUUACUACAUUAGUUCUGUUUUGAUACAAAUUGAGUUG